RNAcentral lists this long non-coding RNA (757 nucleotides) under Marmota monax (woodchuck). Lineage: Eukaryota; Metazoa; Chordata; Mammalia; Rodentia; Sciuridae. The record is from RNAcentral.
CAGAAACCAAAAAUUACCUUUGUUCUUCUUUAAGCCACUUCCCAUCCCCAUAGAGAUAACAAUGAUUCUGAUUUCAAAAAUCACAAGUUAUGAUCAUCUCCUUUUGAAUUUUAUAUAAAAGCAAUAAUAUAGCAUGUAUUAUUUUGUGUUUGGCUAUUCCCUCCAGCCUAUUGCAAAAUGAUGUUUGAGAGAUUAUCCUUGUUUAUGUGUAUGUUGUUCAUUCAUUCUCACUGAUGAAUGGUUAAUUAACUUUUGUUGGAGAUAUAAAUUCAGGGUAAAAAUGGGUUAGCAAACUGUUUAAAUCAUAAUUUCGUAUGUAACACUAUAUGAGCAUUUAAAACCGUUUUCAUGGGGCUGAAGGUGUAGCUUAGUGGUAAAUCACAUGCUUAGCAUGUGGUGAAGUCUUUGGUCCCAACACCAAAAAAAAAAAAAAAAAAGAAAGAAAAAGAAAAAAGAAAAGAAAAACUGGUAACAAAACUCCAUUGUCCUUUUAGAAUAAUUGUUUGAAUGUAUAAUUUAAUGUCUACACUCUGUUGCUUAGAUUCACGCUCAAUGAACAUUUCUUCUGGGAAGCCAUCCUAAACUUCCCCAUCCAGAAUGAAAACUCCUUUCUCUGUGCUCUCCUGAAACCUUAUGUAUUUCUGUUAUAACUCUGUUUUAAUGUUGUUAUUUGUGCAGUAUAGUUAUUUAUAGUGUUGAGCUUUAUUUUGUCAUAUGCACACAUGCAUGAAAUAUAAUUUGCUCCAUUACAAUCACC